GGGCCCGCACAAGCGGUGGAGUAUGUGGUUUAAUUCGAUGCAACGCGAGGAACCUUACCAGGGCUUAAAUGUAGUGGGACAGGUCUAGAGAUAGACCCUUCUUCGGACUCAUUACAAGGUGCUGCAUGGUUGUCGUCAGCUCGUGCCGUGAGGUGUCAGGUUAAGUCCUAUAACGAGCGCAACCCCUAUCGUUAGUUGCCAGCGGGUCAUGCCGGGAACUCUAGCGAAACUGCCGGUGCAAACCGUGAGGAAGGUGGGGAUGACGUCAAAUCAUCACGGCCCUUACGUCCUGGGCUACACACGUGCUACAAUGGCCGGUACAGAGAGCAGCCACUACGCGAGUAGGAGCGAAUCUAUAAAACCGGUCUCAGUUCGGAUCGCAGUCUGCAACUCGACUGCGUGAAGCUGGAAUCGCUAGUAAUCGG
RNAcentral lists this ribosomal RNA (425 nucleotides) under uncultured bacterium. RNAcentral describes it as "bacterial SSU rRNA". It matches the Rfam family "Bacterial small subunit ribosomal RNA", at positions 917 to 1345 of the family's 1533-position model. The record is from RNAcentral.